GAUGAACGCUGGCGGCGUGCCUAAUACAUGCAAGUCGAGCGAACGGACGAGAAGCUUGCUUCUCUGAUGUUAGCGGCGGACGGGUGAGUAACACGUGGAUAACCUACCUAUAAGACUGGGAUAACUUCGGGAAACCGGAGCUAAUACCGGAUAAUAUUUUGAACCGCAUGGUUCAAAAGUGAAAGACGGUCUUGCUGUCACUUAUGGAUGGAUCCGCGCUGCAUUAGCUAGUUGGUAAGGUAACGGCCUACCAAGGCAACGAUGCAUAGCCGACCUGAGAGGGUGAUCGGCCACACUGGAACUGAGACACGGUCCAGACUCCUACGGGAGGCAGCAGUAGGGAAUCUUCCGCAAUGGGCGAAAGCCUGACGGAGCAACGCCGCGUGAGUGAUGAAGGUCUUCGGAUCGUAAAACUCUGUUAUUAGGGAAGAACAUAUGUGUAAGUAACUGUGCACAUCUUGACGGUACCUAAUCAGAAAGCCACGGCUAACUACGUG
Molecule: ribosomal RNA, 497 nt
Filed under: uncultured bacterium
Lineage: Bacteria
Description: partial 16S ribosomal RNA
Rfam family: Bacterial small subunit ribosomal RNA
Source: RNAcentral